RNAcentral lists this long non-coding RNA (3247 nucleotides) under Setaria viridis. RNAcentral's name for it is "long non-coding RNA (SVIR_LNC009985)". The record is from RNAcentral. Lineage: Eukaryota; Viridiplantae; Streptophyta; Magnoliopsida; Poales; Poaceae.
UCUUUUUUUUUUUCCUUGGUCGUCGCUCGUCGCGACUUCGCGAGGCACGAGGGCGCGGGUCCCAUUGGGUAUCUGCAUCUCUGACCCGUGUCUGGCCAAUCACGUGGCGAGCGCAAGUUACGAUGCACGCCGGCGAUCGCCGGCAGCGGCGCACGUGAAGGAUCGGAAGUGGCGCUCGUGAUCGAACAGGGGACUCGGCAGACAUGUUUACUGCUGCUGCUCGACAUGCACAGGCAGAGGACGCAGGCGAGGCGAUGAUGGUUCAGACAUCAGAAGCAAGGCCACUUGCAAGUUGCAACUUGCUCAAGAUCUUCAAGACGAAACAGCAGAUACAUGCCCAACAAUUCAGAAAAAUGUAGCAGUAGAGUCGACAUUUUAGGCUCCGUUUGGAUUUUAGUUGCUUCGAGUUCCUAUCACAUCGAAUGUUUAGAUACUAAUUAGGAGUACUAGUCCAUCAACCCGUGCUCCCGCACGAGUUAAUGUUUUUAGAAGUUAUUGUAUUUAAAAUUAUUUAGAAAUUAAACUCUUAGCUAAUAAUCAAAAUUUUUUACCUACUGCUCUAUUAUUUUUCCAAUACUUCAACAUAAUACUUAUAUACCUAUCUUUGUCCAGUUGUGAUUGAUUUUUAAUUAAUAAUUACUCUAUGCACUUUUUCAUCCACAUUCAUACUUGUUCAUUUUGUAUCACAACUCCAAUCCUCCAUACAUUAUGUUUAGCAUACAAAUCAAUAUUUUUCAUCGAUUCCGCACGUAUAUGCAUAAAUGGUCUAAAUGGUGGCACUCAUCAUGUGUAUAUACUUUAACUUAGUAUUUUUAUAUUACCAAUGACAUAAAUAUGUAAUUUAGAAUCAUAUAUUAGUUUACUUUUUGACAUUUCUGUAUGAUGCACAUGAAGAUAAUUAGAUUAAGAUUUAGAUGUUUACUUUAUGUUAUUUUUAAUAACGACAUACGUGGGUAACAUAGAUAAAAUUUUAGAAUGACAUUUUAAGUUAUGUUUUAUAAUGAUGUGUAUUAGUAAAUUGGAUGAAUAUUAUGAGGUUACUUUAGAUUAUGUUUUAUAAUAGCUGAGCUCGGUAAUUUAGAUAUAGGUUUAGAGCUCAUUUUUUAAUAUUUUCACAAUGACAGUGGUGGGUAACUUUUUAGAAAAUAUAAUAGAUCAAUGGCUAUGAUUAUUAGAGUUUAAAGGAUUGGUGUUUGAUGUUUUUAAUUUUUAUGAGAAUUUCUCUCUUUUUUCUAGUUUGUCUCGUGGGAACUAAUGCAGAGUCUCCAAUGAAAAAGAAAUGAGACUACAUUACUACAAAACUACUACCAUAGGCUACCUCUCAUUUGUUAAAUAUUCGAACACAAUACUUAUGUAGAUAUAUACUUAAUAUCUUCAUCCAAUUGUGAUAGAUUUUAGUUAGUAAUUACUUUAUAAUAUUUUCAUCCACAUUUAUAAUCUUUAACUUUUCACUUUGGAUCGCAGGUAUGCACUUAAAUUUGUUUAAUGAACCCUAUGUUUGAGAUACAAUUUUAGCAUAGAAAUCUAUAUUCCCAUCACUUUAUAUCCUUAUAAAUGGUGACACACAUCAUGCAUAUAGACCUUAAUUAUUAUAUCGUAUACCAAUAGUGUAAGAUAUAGACAAUUUUGAAUCAUAUAAUGUUGUAUAUUUUUAAUUAAGGUUAUUUGAUUCAAACGUAGGUUACCUCAUGUUAUUUUUAAUAAUAGCAUGUGUAGGUAAUAUAGAUGCAAAUUUAAGGGGUUACUUUAAGUUCUUUAAGUAAUAGUUGUAGGCAAUUCAGUUGCAAAUUAGGGGGUUAUUUUAAAUAUUGUUUAUAAUAUCAUAAGUGGGUAAUUUUGAUGAAGAUUAGGGGGUUACUUUAGUUUAUUUAUAUAAUGGCAGAGGUGGGUAAUUUAUAUAUAGAUUUAGGGGUUACUUUAUUAGGCUAUUUUUAUAAUGGCAUAGGUGGGUAAUUUUUUUAGAAAAUAUAAUAGAUCCAAUGGCUAUGAUGAUUUGAAUCUAUCGAUCGAUGGUCGGAUGUUUUGCUUUUUGUGAGAAUUUCUAGGAUUUCUCUCUUUUUCUAGAGUGUGUCCACCUAGGAAUCCUAGGUGGCUUCACCUGAAGGCUUCAAAAGGAACCUCCAAUUAAUAAUAGUAAGAUUAAACAUAGACUAAUUGGAAAACCAAUUGCACAGAUGGAGGCUAAUUUGCGAGACGAAUCUAUUAAGCUUAAUUAGUCCAUGAUUUGAUAAUGCGAUGCUACAGUAAACAUAUGCUAAUGAUGGAUUAAUUAGGCUUAAUAGAUUCGUCUCGUGAAUUAACCUCCAUCUGUGUAAUUAGUUUUAUAAUUAGCUCAUGUUUAGUUCUCCUAAUUAACCUUCGAAUAUUCGAUGUGACAUGAACUUUAGUCCGAACUAAAGAUCAAACACUCCCUUAGUACACUCCCUUAGUCAUUAAGGAUUCGAUUUUUUCAGGUUUGGUUUUUCUAAAAAACUUACUAGGAGACGGUUUUAUUAACUCCCCGUAAAAAACCAAGAACAAUCUUUGAAACCGUCAUUGUUGGUGACGGUAGUUGGGAGUGGCAUGUUUUGGAGUGUUGGAAGAUGGCAAAAGUGCGCAUGCCGAAACGAGGAGCGAACCAGCCAGGCAGCCAGGCAGCCAAGGACGUCAGAACAUCAGUGUCCCUACUAGGGAAUGGAACCACUACCCUCUUUGCAGCAAAAUAGCCUAGUUGCUGCACUUCACCAUGGCCGUUGCUUUGCUGCCAUGGCGUCGGCUUUUCCAUCGUCUUUUUUCUAAGAUGUGCCACCUUUUUGCUUACCAGUUUGCUUUUUUUUUUACCCAAGAUAUUUUUUUUCUAUUUAGGAUAAGAGGAGAAAUGGUAUGGGUUCUGAAAAGGAUUGUUAGAUUUGGCUAGGCUGGCUUUGCACAUGGCUGCGCGGUCUCGCCAUUGGCUUGGCACUUUGGCAGUGGCCAAGAAGGAAUUCCAAUUUCCAUCCAUCCGCCCAGGGCCGGUCCUGGGGCAGGGUGGACGGGGCGGCCGUCCCAGGCCCCCCAAAAGUCAGGGCCCCAGUUGGUGUGUAUCAGUGUCUGCAAUAGCUAGUGAUUUGUGCCAUCAUGAUCUGGAGCGAAAGGACCUUCCUCCGUGAAACACGUCGCUUCAGUCAAUUGUGAUUAUCUUCCAUGCCCUAAGCCGGCCCCUAAUCCCGUCUUGUCUCCGCUCUUCUCUCCUUCCUCGUAUCUAGCACAAAACACUCCUGCAUAUCCC